CCGGCGACCGCGCGACGGUGANAACGCGUAUGCAACCUGCCCGUUUCAGCGGGAUAACCCGGAGAAAUCCGGCCUAAUACCGCAUGUGGCCGAGGGGAGGCAUCUUCUUUCGGCCAAAGGAGGCGACUCCGGAGACGGAUGGGCAUGCGUGACAUUAGCUUGUUGGCGGGGUAACGGCCCACCAAGGCGACGAUGUCUAGGGGUUCUGAGAGGAAGGUCCCCCACACUGGUACUGAGACACGGACCAGACUCCUACGGGAGGCAGCAG
This 268-nucleotide ribosomal RNA is filed under the name uncultured bacterium. RNAcentral's name for it is "partial 16S ribosomal RNA". It matches the Rfam family "Bacterial small subunit ribosomal RNA", at positions 89 to 354 of the family's 1533-position model. The record is from RNAcentral.